UACGGGGGGGGCAAGCGUUGUUCGGAAUUACUGGGCGUAAAGGGCCAGUAGGCGGCCAACUAAGUCCGACGUGAAAUCCCCAGGCUUAACCUGGGAACUGCGUCGGAUACUGGAUGGCUUGAAUUCGGGAGAGGGAUGUGGAAUUCCAGGUGUAGCGGUGAAAUGCGUAGAUAUCUGGAGGAACACCGGUGGCGAAGGCGACAUCCUGGACCGGUAUUGACGCUGAGGCGCGAAAGCCAGGGGAGCAAACGGG
Molecule: ribosomal RNA, 253 nt
Filed under: uncultured bacterium
Lineage: Bacteria
Description: partial 16S ribosomal RNA
Rfam family: Bacterial small subunit ribosomal RNA
Source: RNAcentral